Hippopotamus amphibius kiboko is the source of this 6677-nucleotide long non-coding RNA. RefSeq lists it as uncharacterized. The transcript has 4 exons. Lineage: Eukaryota; Metazoa; Chordata; Mammalia; Artiodactyla; Hippopotamidae. The record is from RefSeq and is a predicted model, not a curated record.
CAGAAGCAGCUUCCUGCCAGGGGCAAGUACUUCUUGGUGGAGGCUGGAACCAUGUCGAUGAUGACCUACUUGUCAGAGUCCAGGCUAGCGUGUGCUGAUGGCACGGGGACUGACACUCUGGGCUCACAGCCCACACGGAGCCAAGAGGGGAGGCUCUUUUGCUGAGGUGCCCACGGUGACAUCAGAAGUUUGCUCCUCAGCCAGCACCAGGAAGGCGACGCGUGUGAGCAGCCUGGGUUCUGAACCUGAUCCUGGCCUUGUGAUCUAAUUUAUAAGAGGACACGCAGAAGUUUUCAGCUGCCCAGAGCUUUUAUGGAGGCUUCAUGUGUGGCUCCCCCAGGAGCUCUGACAGCCUUUAGGAAAAGAGGGUGGCAGCUUGGAUUUCCUUCCUGUUGCUGAGAAAAGGAUGACUGGAGUACACGGAGCUGAUUCAGGACAAGAAUCAUGUGUUCUUUUUCAAAUGUCCUUCCACCCAAGUACAAAGCUGGACACAGCAGGCACAGGCAGCCCACGGUGUGGCCGUGUUCCAGAAAAACCUAGGCCAGAGUCCUCUAAGAACCUUCCUGAGCCAGAACCUAGGGCUAGCAGUGGGAAAGUUAGAAGGGGGAGAACGCUGUAACUAGGAUCUGUAACCAGUUACAGAACCUUCUAAACUGCUUGUAGUGCUCUUAGGUUUGCUACUGAAACUGGAUUUCCAAGGCAUCUACUUGUGGCCUAAAAUUAUCUUUUUUUUUUUUUCACCCAUUGCAAAAGAGUUUAUUGAAGAUAAAAAGAAAACAGAGAGAACACCUCAAGAGAGAAGUGGGCCAGGCCAAGGGACACAGUGGUCCCACAGGGCUGGGGUGUAGAGUUUUUAGUACAAUUAUCUUUAAAUUCACAUCGAACGGUAGAAAAUUAUUAAAGCUCACACUUCCAAUACUAUCUGGGCUAGCGCAGGAGAGAAUUGUGAAACACCAUGCACAUGCAUUUUAAACCUGUGCUGUGCGACUUGGUUUUAACACGUGGAAUCUGUGGUGACUGUUUUUGCUCCGUGAAGGUGCUGCACCUCUUUCAGUCCUGAGCUUAGAAUGAUAAGCAGAUUUGAAGGUCAUGAGUGACAGCAGACAGGAUGGUCCCCUUAUUUCCUGUGCUUCCUCUCUGGGGAGAGGCGGGAGGACUCCAGAGAAAAAAAGAGAUGGGAAGGAAAACAAGUCAACCCAGCAGAGAGGAGAGAGAAUGGUGACAGACAGCAGGAGCUGCCAGCAAACAUCUGAUGCCCUGCAUCGCUCGGAGGAGAGGAGACAAGUCUUCCCAAAUCCAGGCGCCCCAACAUGAUUGCAAAAGCCACACCCAUCGGCCCACAGACAGCCAGCACUGCUGCAGAACCAGUGAGACACCUUGGGAAGCUGCCUGAGUUUCUGGUCACAUCCCUGUACAAGCUGCCUUUGGCCCUGCUGGAUGCUGGAAUCCCAGCACGGGAUGACCCAGAGCUGCCUUUUGUUCAAGGCAAAGUUCAUUUCAGAAAUGUCGUCCUCGAUGUUGUUCUCGGGCUUAGAGCUCAUUCCUUCUCCCACCGGCCGCCGCAGGGCUGACUGAGCACGCGCGCCCGAGGCACUCCGCGAGCUUUGAUGUCAACAGAGGUAGGCAGGGCAGGCCCCUGUGGAAAACUGUGAAGUCAGCAGAGUUAUCGCCGGCACUCCUCCCUUCCCCCUUGCUUCCCCUUUCUCCACCCAUUUCCCCCCUCUCAGCGUCCAGCUUCUCAUUUCCCAGGGGACCCUGCAAUAGAAGGAAAGCCGCUGUCCUGAGAUACGAGGGGGCCAGCUCAAGGCUCCAGCUAUCAAAGUAUGCUUUUUCCCCCACGUCUAAAACAAACAAAGGAACGCAUUCCAUACAUUUCCGAAGAGGGGAGAGUGCACGCAGAAACCUCGCGUCCUUUGUGCUGUCUCCCUGAAACCCCAAGAGUUUGGGGCCUCGAGUUUGAAUCUGUAUUCUUGCCUCCUGGGGUUUUAAAAAGAUUCAAAAGUGCCUCAAACCAAUACAGCGGCUUGGUUUAUGGCUCACAUUGAAACCACAAAUUAUAAAAUGAUAAAUCCCUGCUCAAAGCUCUUCCAGGAAAGACUAUGUUGUCAAGAUUAAGUUACAGCCUCAUGGACCUAUGAGUGAGUCGAGCUGCUGACUAACUCUCACACUUCUUUUCCUGCCGAAGAUGUUUUUCCUUCGUGAACUUUCACUGUUUCUGAAUACUUUAAACAAAGAAAAUGAUUGAAGGCAGGAAAAACAUCGGGGACUUCUUAACGCGUGGAGCUUUUUACAGGCUUUAUUAUGUAACGGCUGCUUUCGUUUUGUGAGACCCAAAGGAAGUUUAAGAAAACUUUUUCUUCUUGAGCACUUAACUGCCAGAGAUGAGUGAGAAAUGGCUUCACGUGGGCAGCUCCACUCACUUCAAACUCUAGCUGGAACGUGUAGCCUGUGGUAAAUCAACACUGGUUUUAAGGAAUUUGGGUCUUAAAGUAUCCGUUUGGUGAUUUGGGCAGGAUUGCAACAUAAAUUACUGUAUUUUGUUCCCGUGAAAUGAAUUUUUUUGGAAUUCUCUUACAGGGUCUGGUCUAGUGACAGAGUAUGACAAAUAACUAGGCCACAUGUGUGCUUUCCUGUAAGGACACUCCUCUCUGCCAGGGUUUUGGCAGGCACGAGGAGGCGAGGUGGAAUGCUUGGUUGAGGCCCCUAUCUUGCCGCGCCUCCGGGCCUGGCACACUGACCUCAUUUUGAUCACCUGGGGCUGCAGGAAGAGACUCAGUCGUCCAUCCUUCAUGUUUCGCCAGCACAGCGCCUUGGUUACACAACUCUGAUCUGGUUUCUCCAAAGCCACUCACGUCUUGAGGACCAUCAGACCAUGAGUCAUAAUCACUUUAGCAUUUGCUCUGAAGUUCCCUCUUGUUGAUUUUACACCUCAGGCCCUUUGGUUUCUCUCUUUCUUGGGCUUCUUGGGUCCUGAGUGGCAGUUUUUGUUUUCUGAUGUCAUUUCUAGUUAUCGCCCACACCAGCCAUGGCAGGGCCUGCCACGGCAACUCUUGUCUCUGCUUUUCUUGAAGUCAGCCCUGCUGUCAUUACUGCUGCUUUUUCUGGGACAUUUCAAGUUGUGGAGAGAGUUCUUUUCCUGUGAUUAUAGCUCUUUCUUCCAAUUUUGACUAGUCUGGCAUCUGUAUGAUUAUAGCUCAUUAGGACUCCUGAGGCUAGGAGGCACUUUUUUUUAAAUGCUGCCUUGCUUUUAUUUUUAUUUUUUUAUUUUUAUUUAUUUAUUGGCUACGUUGGGUCUUCAUCGCUGUAAGCGGGCUUUCUCUAGUUGCAGCGAGUGGGGGCUACUCUUCGUUGCAGUGGACAGGCUUCUCAUUGUGAUGCCUUCUCUUGUUACAGAGCAUGGGCUCUAGGCGCUUGGGCUUCAAUAGUUGUGGCACGUGGGCUUAGUUGCUCUGCGGCAUGUGGGAUCUUCCUAGACCAGGGAUUGAACCUGUGUCCCCUAUGUUGGCAGAUGGAUUCUUAAGCACUGGGCCACCAGGGAAGUCCCUGUUUUUUUAAAUAACAUGUAUUAUAACUUAUUUUUGCAAGGAACUAUAAAGAUGAAAACAAUAAUGGUCAUUAAUCCCACAGUCCAGAUUACUACUAACAGCAUUUUAAAAAAUAAAAGUAAUAUGUGCAUGGGAAGAAAAUUAAAGCAAUAAAAAGGGUAUAAAAAAUAAAAGCUCCCUUUUCUGCCCCUGAGUGCCUUCCCCAAAUAUAACUACCAUUAUUAUUUUGGUGUACCCUCAUUAUGCAUAUCCUUUAACAAAAUCUUACAUAAAAAUGAUCUUACUAUACCUGUCAUUCUACAUUUUGCUUUUUUCACCUAAAUUGCUAUCUUAGAGAUCUUUCCACGUGUACACUGCAGAUAUACUGCUUACUUUUAACGUCUGCAUAGUCUUUGUUAGAAGAGAAUGUGCCUUCCAAAUAAAAGGCAUUCAAUUAAAAUAAUUCCAGGCCCUUUUCUGUCCCUUUACUUCCUCUGUUUCCUGAGUCUAAAGUGACUUAUCUGACUAACAAGUUUGGAGGAAUAACCUAGGCAUGCUAAGUUCAACUCUUCCCUUUCUGAGAUUCAGUUUUCUCAUGAUUUUCACCAUGGGGAGAAAAACUAGUACCUUCCUUGUAUAGAGGUUAGAUGAGUUAAUAUAUGUAAAGCUCUAACGCAUAGAAAUAGUAAGUGCUAGUUCCAUAAUUAUUCCUACAUGUGUCAUACUGGGACUUGCUCUCUCCCUUAACAAUAUAUCUUAGGGAUUAUUCCACAGCAGUAUAUAUAGACAUACCUCGUUUUAAAAGUAUGGUGUUUCAUAGUAUAACCACACUGCAGAUUAUUUAGAUGUGCCCCUAUUUGGGUUGUGUCUGGCAUUCAACCCUUUCUGCUCUGAGGAUACAGAGUUCUGGAGUCAAUUAGUGUAAGCUUCACCUGCCAUAAGUAUAUUUCACUUUAUUUACUUGUUUUAGCAAAUGCUUUUUUUUUUUACUUUUUAAUAUUUAUUUAUUUAUUUAUUUUUGGCUGUGUUGGGUCUUAGUUGUGGCACGCGGGCUCUUCAUUGCAGCACACAGUCUUCUCUCUAGUUGCAACUCUCAGGCUUAGCUGCCCCACAGCAUGUGGGAUCUUAGUUCGCCGACCAGGGGUUGAACCUAUGUCCCCUGCAUUGGAAGGCUGAUUCCUAACCACUGGAUCACCAGGGAAGUCCCUAUUUCACAUUAUCUAUUUAACAAAUGUAUAUCGUUUACUAUCUGUCCCACAAUGUCCUAAUCACCUUUAAAGAUGUUAACUCAUUAAUGCUCAUAGUGAGUCUUUUGAAGUAGGAGCUAUUUAAUCCCCAUAUUACAGAUCGAGAAACUGAGGCACGGAGAGGUUAAGUAACUUACCUGAGAUCGCAUGCCUGGGAAAAGGAGUGCUGGAAUUCCAACCCAGGCAGUCUGGCUCCCAAGUCCAUACUCUUGACCUCCCUGUCCACACUGUGCACCUCUCUUUGUUCUAAAAUCUGUGACAUCAUUUCAAUAAGACCCUGAGCCUCAUCUUGUCACAUUUCACACCCCUAUUGUGGAUGGGAAUUCAGCUUUUUUUGGAAUAUACUUAGUAAUAUACAGGUAAUUUAAAAGAGAACGUGAUUGAUGAAUCAACCUGACCCCUUAAACUACCAAGAGCUAGCUUUUCUAAGGAUUGUUCUAACAAAAGCCAGCCAGUGUUGAGAAAGCCCUUCAAGUGAUGAUACCAGCACUUGCCUUCAGAGGCCCCAGGUCUGGGCUCUCAACUCUGCCUCUCUGUGCCACGCUGGCCCACUAAGCAGACUCACAAUGCAGGUCAGCGGACAGCCUUAAAAUAAACGAACAUGUUUGUGUUGUGCCCAGUUAUGCAACAGCGUGUAUCCAAUUAGGUAGUGCAAAACUCAUGCAAAAAAUCUUUCCUUUUCCCGACUCCUGCUGUGUAUGAGUCUUUGACUGACUUGGCCAACUCAAAUUCCUAAAAUACUAAGGUUCAGAAAGUCUGGUCAAAGUUUGCUAAUUAAAUACAAAACCCUGCCUCCUCUGUCCUUCAUCACUGCCCCCAUCCCUACCCUCAAGCUACUUUAGCUUUUAGACGUGUCCACUGAAUGCUUUUUUCUUUAAAGAUAUGGGUGAGAUAUUUCUUUUGGAGUAUGUCCAGACAAUCUGGCAAUCCACGCUUGAAGUUAGCCGCAGGGGAGAAUAUUUAUUAAAGAAAAACAAACAAGGAACAAAAAAUAAAAUAAGGACAGAUCAUGGAUUUAACCCUCUUUUGAAAUCAGAAUAUCCUCCAAAUGGAAGACUUUAUCAAACUGAAGCAUUUAAUUUUUUUUUUUGCUUUGUUAAUGGAAAAAAUAUGUAUACAUACAUAAUUUAAUGUUCUGGAAAGUUCUUAAUGAUUAGAGUUUUUUUCAUUUCAAAAGUUAUUGCUUAUUCUAACAUACUAAAACCUAUAUUUUUCCCUUUUAUAAAUAAACUUCUAUCUCUGGAGUCUGUCUUUUAGAAAGAAAGUACUUAAGGCCAAUUUUCUACCCAUCCUGAAGCUUAAAUUUUGGCUCAAGGAACUUCCUGUCCUGUUCCAGCUGUGACAUGUUGAAUAUAAACCUGGCAAUUGGAGACAACUUGCUAUACUUUUUGAGCCUUUGCUGUGGCUCUAGCCCUUUAUGUCUUAGGAAAUAGGGUGGGAGAUAGGGAGAGAGAGUGGGGGGAUCUCCGAUGAAAACAGGAAAUAGGGUCUUCCGGCCUCCCCAGGGCCUUCUUUCUAUUCCUUUAGUCUUUACAGCAUCCAAGGGGAUGAAUUGCCUCUACUCAUACAGGCAAACCUCACUUUACUGUGCUUCACUUUUUUGUGCUUUGAAGAUAUUGUGCUUUUUUACAAACUGAAGGUUUAUGGCAACCCUGCAUCAAGGAAAUCUAUCAGCGUCAUUUUUCCAAUAGCAUUUGCUCAUUUCAUAUCUCUGUGUCACAUUUUGGUAGUUCUAGCAAUAUUUCAUGCUUUUCCAUUAUUACUUUACUUGUUAUGGUGACAGUGAUAUUUCAUGUUACUGCUACUACUCGCUGAAGGCUCAGAUGAGUUAGCAUUUUUUAGCAAUAAAAUAUAUUUAAAUUAAGGUAUGUACUUUGUUUUUUUAGACAUAAGGCUAUUGCACACU